UACGUAGGGGGCAAGCGUUGUCCGGAAUCAUUGGGCGUAAAGCGCGCGUAGGCGGCCCGGUAAGUCCGCUGUAAAAGUCCAGGGCUCAACCCUGGAAAGCCGGUGGAUACUGUCGGGCUCGAGUCCGGAAGAGGCACGUGGAACUCCCGGUGUAGCGGUGGAAUGCGUAGAUAUCAGGAGGAACACCGGUGGCGAAGGCGGAUCUCUGGGCCUUACCUGACGCUGAGGCGCGAAAGCUAGGGGAGCGAACAGG
This 253-nucleotide ribosomal RNA is filed under the name uncultured bacterium. RNAcentral describes it as "partial 16S ribosomal RNA". It matches the Rfam family "Bacterial small subunit ribosomal RNA", at positions 524 to 776 of the family's 1533-position model. The record is from RNAcentral.